Molecule: long non-coding RNA, 203 nt
Filed under: Lupinus angustifolius (narrow-leaved blue lupine)
Lineage: Eukaryota; Viridiplantae; Streptophyta; Magnoliopsida; Fabales; Fabaceae
Description: long non-coding RNA (LANG_LNC000072)
Source: RNAcentral
AGAUAUCACAAACCCUGACAACGGUUGGUAAUGCAGGUUGUUUCUGGCCCAAGCCGUGUUGCCUAAUCACAUAUGUCACAUCUUCAAGUUUAUUCUCUAUCCUUUGAUUAUCAAUUGUGUUGGUAAUGCGAACCUCACUUGCAGAUCUAGUUAGAGCAAUCAUGCUAGUGAUAAGUUGAUGCGAGUUUGAUGUCAUAUUCUCU